UAAGAAUUUAAAAGUCGAACAGACUUAUCUAUUAAGAAUACUGCUUCUUAAAAUAUUCUUAAUUCAACAUCGAGGUCGCAAAAUAUAAUAUAGAUAUGAACUCCCCAUUUAAAUUACGCUGUUAUCCCUAAGGUAACUUAAUCUUAUUAUCCAUAGGCAAGGAUCUAAACUUACAUAAAUAAAUGAUAAAAAAAACUAAAGUUAUUAAUUUAGCCACCACCCCAGCAAAUUAUAACUCAUUAUUAUAAAAUAUAAAUAAUCUAAACUAAAUAAUAAAAAUUUUAUAUAAAGUUCUAUAGGGUCUUAUCGUCCCAAUAAACAACUAAAGCAUUUUAACUUUAAAUUUAAAUUUUAAUAUAUUUAAGAAAUAAAAUAUAAUUCUCAUACAUCCAUUCAUACAAGCUUCCAAUUAAGAAACUAAUUACUAUGCUACCUUUGCACAGUCAAAAUACUGCAGCCAUUUAGAGAUAAUUUAACCAUAGGGCAGAAGAUACUUUUUACAUAAACCA
This 509-nucleotide ribosomal RNA is filed under the name Nesophrosyne sp. 17 GMB-2012. RNAcentral describes it as "partial 16S ribosomal RNA". The record is from RNAcentral. Lineage: Eukaryota; Metazoa; Arthropoda; Insecta; Hemiptera; Cicadellidae.